GAUGAACGCUGGCGGCGUGCCUAAUACAUGCAAGUCGAGCGAACAGACGAGGAGCUUGCUCCUCUGACGUUAGCGGCGGACGGGUGAGUAACACGUGGAUAACCUACCUAUAAGACUGGGAUAACUUCGGGAAACCGGAGCUAAUACCGGAUAAUAUAUUGAACCGCAUGGUUCAAUAGUGAAAGACGGUUUUGCUGUCACUUAUAGAUGGAUCCGCGCCGCAUUAGCUAGUUGGUAAGGUAACGGCUUACCAAGGCAACGAUGCGUAGCCGACCUGAGAGGGUGAUCGGCCACACUGGAACUGAGACACGGUCCAGACUCCUACGGGAGGCAGCAGUGGGGAAUCUUCCGCAAAGGGCGAAAGCCUGACGGAGCAACGCCGCGUGAGUGAUGAAGGUCUUCGGAUCGUAAAACUCUGUUAUUAGGGAAGAACAAAUGUGUAAGUAACUAUGCACGUCUUGACGGUACCUAAUCAGAAAGCCACGGCUAACUACGUG
This 497-nucleotide ribosomal RNA is filed under the name uncultured bacterium. RNAcentral describes it as "partial 16S ribosomal RNA". It matches the Rfam family "Bacterial small subunit ribosomal RNA", at positions 28 to 507 of the family's 1533-position model. The record is from RNAcentral.